GUGUAAGGCAGGCACACUAACCACUAAGCCAGUGUGCUUUAGUAAACUAUGGGCUGACACUAACUAGAUUUUCUUGCUUUUAUAAUGUAAGGUAUGCACUCAAUACACAUACUGCAUGGGACUGUGUUUGCCAGCACCAUGUUGUUGUGCCUUCAUCAGUGGAUGUUUGUGGACGUCCACUUCUCGGUUGCAUUGGUGCUCACCUCUCAUUCUCCCUCUGGUUGUCAGAUGCAACCACUGGACUGGUUCAUGUACAGUAGGUGCAUCUGCACAACACAUAUUUUGACGCUCCCAUCAGCCCAGAACAGGCUUUCCAAUUCCUACACUUCAUCCUCUCUCUAGCAGCACACAAGAAGACUUCCAGGUUGGCGUCAGAGCACAGGGUCAGCCAUGAUACAGCGCCCCUGGAGCAGAGAGGAUUAUGGUUAAGGUUAAGGGCCUUGCUCAAGGGCCAAACAGUGGCAGUUUGGCAGUGCCAGGACUUGAAUCCCCAACCUUCCAGAGCCUUAACCACCAAGCCACCACUGAUCCUCAGGGCAUCAUAAUUGAUGAUAUGGUGAAGUUUUCAGUGUGGAGAUAUUUUACAUUUACGGAAGGAGUCUCCAGUGUCAUCACUCUGCAACAGUCAUAGUUAAAGCUGUAACUUCAAGUGGAAGUCCUGCCAUGUUUUAUAAUUUACAUAAUUCCAAAACCACCUGUUCACUUUGUAGAUAACGGUGGACAGUAUACACAGUUGGGAAAAAAUGUUUACAUUUAAAACUUUACGAUUUAUUCGGCUUGUUCCUUUAUAAGUUUCGAAACCGAACAAUCCCUUUUCUAGGAAUAUGCCUAUUGAGCUUUAACAUUACAGUUUUCACCAGAUGACGUGUGUGACUGAGCACGUCUAAUGGCUUGAUCUUAAAUGACACACUUGUGUGUAGUAAGCUAUCUGAAAGAUGUGUUGUAACAAGUCUUUCCAAAGAAACAAACUGAAUUGGACUGAUUUUAUCCCAGUGUUAGAUAUUUUCAUGUUGAGAUCAUUAAUGAGCAAUUGUAGACUCCCCCCAUAAAUUGAGUUUUUCAAGACAAAAG
Ictalurus punctatus (channel catfish) is the source of this 1071-nucleotide long non-coding RNA. RefSeq lists it as uncharacterized. NCBI's taxonomy places the organism in Eukaryota, Metazoa, Chordata, Actinopteri, Siluriformes, Ictaluridae. The record is from RefSeq and is a predicted model, not a curated record. The transcript has 3 exons.